GCAAACUUGGUCAUUUAGAGGAAGUAAAAGUCGUAACAAGGUUUCCGUAGGUGAACCUGCGGAAGGAUCAUUACAGCGAAGGCGGCACACCCGCCCUACGCCCACACUUGCCUACAGACCCUUUAGCCUCGGCGGGACGGGGGGACACGCUUCCCCCCUACCGUGCCCGCCGGGGGACCACAAAACAUCAGUGUUUCAGCGGUAUCUUCUCUGAGUUAGCGUACACAAUCAGUUAAAACUUUCAACAAUGGAUCUCUUGGUUCCGGCAUCGAUGAAGAACGCAGC
This 285-nucleotide unclassified non-coding RNA is filed under the name uncultured fungus. RNAcentral describes it as "partial contains small subunit ribosomal RNA, internal transcribed spacer 1, and 5.8S ribosomal RNA". The stretch from base 1 to 73 matches the Rfam family "Eukaryotic small subunit ribosomal RNA", at positions 1759 to 1831 of the family's 1831-position model. The record is from RNAcentral. Lineage: Eukaryota; Fungi.